GUCAGCAGCCAUAUCACCCUGUAGCCCACUGAAGCUAAGCAGGGUUGAGCCUGGCCAGUACCUGGAUGGGAGACCUCCUGGGGAAAAACUAUGUUGCUGCUGGAA
RNAcentral lists this ribosomal RNA (105 nucleotides) under Sinocyclocheilus anshuiensis. Lineage: Eukaryota; Metazoa; Chordata; Actinopteri; Cypriniformes; Cyprinidae. The record is from RNAcentral.